This 828-nucleotide ribosomal RNA is filed under the name Triticum aestivum (bread wheat). RNAcentral's name for it is "partial small subunit ribosomal RNA". The record is from RNAcentral. Lineage: Eukaryota; Viridiplantae; Streptophyta; Magnoliopsida; Poales; Poaceae.
AUGAUGAAAACCGCGCCAGAGCAUUGGUGUAGGGCCUACUUUAGGAUUGGCUCUUUCUGUGGCUCAGUUGAGAACAACAUGUGUGUUAAUAAUGCCAUCAUGAGAUCAAGGUUCUACCCUGUAGUAACGGCAAUGGAAAUCAUUAGAAAGAAGGUCACUGUGAGGAUCCAACAAAACAGAGCAAAGUCUCAGAAGUGGCAUGGAACCAUUUAUCCAAAUAUUUUUAAGAAAUUGAAGGUCAACAUUGAGAGAUCCGCUAGGUGUCAAGUGUUGUGGAAUGGAAAGGAUGGGUUUGAAGUACAGGAAGGUGAGCACAGGAGAUACACGGUAAAUCUAGAAAACUGUACAUGUUCAUGUAGAUAUUGGCGGCUUUCUGUCUUGCCUUGUUGUCAUGCAGUGAGUGCAAUCUACACCUUCUCGAGAGAUUUAGAUCUCUACAUUUCACCUUGCUACUCAAUAGCUGAGUACGACAGAAUUUAUGAUCAUGUUCUUCAGCCUGUGAAUGGACCAGAAGAUUGGCUAAUUUAUGAAAAACCUAGACCUCUUCCACCUAAGAAAAGAACUCAGAAAGGUAGGCCCCAGACAAAGAGAAGGCAGGAAGAAGGAGAGAAACCUAGGGACCCAUCAAAAAUGUCACGUGCAGGCACUCAGGUCACAUGUUCAAGUUGUGGAACCCAGGGGCACAACAAAAGAAAAUGUACUAACAACAAUACUGCUGGCAAUAAAGAGCAUGCAAACUUCACAAGAGCAGCUACAAGGAGAAAGGAUAAACAAGCAAGAACAGAGGUGGCCCCUUUCUCUCUCCUUUUACUUGCAUUUUCUUCCUAA